RNAcentral lists this transfer RNA (85 nucleotides) under Vibrio vulnificus. RNAcentral describes it as "tRNA-Leu(tag)". It matches the Rfam family "tRNA". From Rfam's summary of the family: Transfer RNA (tRNA) molecules are approximately 80 nucleotides in length. Their secondary structure includes four short double-helical elements and three loops (D, anti-codon, and T loops). Further hydrogen bonds mediate the characteristic L-shaped molecular structure. tRNAs have two regions of fundamental functional importance: the anti-codon, which is responsible for specific mRNA codon recognition, and the 3' end, to which the tRNAs corresponding amino acid is attached (by aminoacyl-tRNA synthetases). tRNAs cope with the degeneracy of the genetic code in two manners: having more than one tRNA (with a specific anti-codon) for a particular amino acid; and 'wobble' base-pairing, i.e. permitting non-standard base-pairing at the 3rd anti-codon position. Lineage: Bacteria; Pseudomonadati; Pseudomonadota; Gammaproteobacteria; Vibrionales; Vibrionaceae. RNAcentral also lists the same sequence under 2 other names. The record is from RNAcentral.
GCGGAAGUGGCGAAAUUGGUAGACGCACCAGAUUUAGGUUCUGGCGCCGAGAGGUGUGAGAGUUCGAGUCUCUCCUUCCGCACCA